This 453-nucleotide ribosomal RNA is filed under the name uncultured Bacteroides sp. RNAcentral describes it as "partial 16S ribosomal RNA". It matches the Rfam family "Bacterial small subunit ribosomal RNA", at positions 341 to 792 of the family's 1533-position model. The record is from RNAcentral. Lineage: Bacteria; Pseudomonadati; Bacteroidota; Bacteroidia; Bacteroidales; Bacteroidaceae.
ACGGAAGGCAGCAGUGAGGAAUAUUGGUCAAUGGGCGGAAGCCUGAACCAGCCAAGUCGCGUGAAGGAUGAAGGUAUUAUGUAUUGUAAACUUCUUUAGCAGCAGAGUAAUAAGGGGGUCGUGACCCCCGAUGCAAGUAUGCUGAAAAUAAGGAUCGGCUAACUCCGUGCCAGCAGCCGCGGUAAUACGGAGGAUCCGAGCGUUAUCCGGAUUUAUUGGGUUUAAAGGGUGCGCAGGCGGUUUUUUAAGUCAGUGGUUAAAUCGUGAGGCUCAACCUCAUCACGCCAUUGAUACUGGAAGACUUGAUUGCGGUUGAGGUGGGCGGAAUUCGUCGUGUAGCGGUGAAAGGCAUAGAUAUGACGAAGAACACCGAUUGCGUAGGCAGCUGACCAAGCCGUAAAUGACGCUCAUGCACGAAAGUGCGGGGAUCGAACAGGAUUAGAUACCCUGGUA